GGGUGGUCUAGUGGUAGAGCGUCCGUCUCGCUUGCGAGAGAUCGUGGGUUCGAACCCCGUCCACCU
Molecule: non-coding RNA, 66 nt
Organism: Potamilus streckersoni
Lineage: Eukaryota; Metazoa; Mollusca; Bivalvia; Unionida; Unionidae
Source: the annotation of a GenBank genome assembly